AGCAUCAGAUGUGUAUCAGAGACAGCAUGGGAUAUAAGCACAGGAAUAUAUAAGCAGCAAGAUUACAGUCAACCGACUCUGAAAAUUAAAAAUGGCAGACAUAGUGAGGCCGGCAAAGCCCCAGUCACAUCCCCUUC
Long non-coding RNA from Prionailurus viverrinus (fishing cat), 137 nucleotides. RefSeq lists it as uncharacterized. The record is from RefSeq and is a predicted model, not a curated record. NCBI's taxonomy places the organism in Eukaryota, Metazoa, Chordata, Mammalia, Carnivora, Felidae. The transcript has 4 exons.